AAGCGGGCUAGGGGGAGUGGUGACGUGCUCUAUAUCACAAAUCGUCAAUAUGGUGACCCGAAGUCAGAGGGCGGCGGAGACGAUUUACGCAUGUGUCAUCGGUUAACUGAGAUACCUCGCCCCCGAGAGAUCGAGGUUGAUAGAGGCAAACUCCGGAGGGAAUUUGUGACUAUGUUACCCGGGAAUCAGGUCAGGCGCGGAAGCGAGCAGCCCGACUGGGGACUCUGGAUGCCUCGGGAUAGCGGGGUUGAGAAGAUCGAUGGGUGAGCAUCCGUAAUUACGACCGUCCACCAAUGACGCGCCCACUC
RNAcentral lists this signal recognition particle RNA (308 nucleotides) under Methanobacteriota archaeon. RNAcentral describes it as "Euryarchaeota archaeon signal recognition particle sRNA". It matches the Rfam family "Archaeal signal recognition particle RNA". The record is from RNAcentral. Lineage: Archaea; Methanobacteriati; Methanobacteriota.